GCUUGCUUUAGAAAGUCGAGUGGCAAACGGGUGAGUAACGCGUACGACAACCUGCCGUAAAGAUGGGGACAACAGUCCGAAAGGACUGCUAAUACCGAAUGUUGUGGAACUUCCGCAAUGGAAGCUCCACUAAAGAUCGCCUCUACUUGUAAGCUAUCGCUUUACGAUGGGUCUGCGUCUGAUUAGCUAGUUGGUGGGGUAAC
Molecule: ribosomal RNA, 203 nt
Filed under: uncultured Bacillota bacterium
Lineage: Bacteria; Bacillati; Bacillota
Description: uncultured Firmicutes bacterium partial 16S ribosomal RNA
Rfam family: Bacterial small subunit ribosomal RNA
Source: RNAcentral